GUCUCCCAGAAGAAUUGAAGUUAUUUGUCACCUCGGUGUUAGUUUGAAAACAUUUUCUUUUUGUUUGUUUUUGAGUUUUCCAAAAUGGAUUUCAGAUUUCUGCCUUCUUUUUGACUACCUGUUGCAAGCACAAGAAGAGAGAGGCAGACUCUCUCUCUCUCCUCUCUCUUUGGAAUCGGACUGGAACCAAAAUGAACACCUGCUCUUGGUCGUUAAAGGCAAAGAAGAAACUGUUUCUAAAAACUCAUAUUCAGCAGAGAGACUAAAAGUAUAAUUUGGCAUUGUCAACAGGUUUUCGAGCAGCGGACAAGAGAAACGCCGGAGAGACAGAUAGAGAGCGAGAGAGCGGGCGAGCGAUCAAGAGACGCCUCACACGCUGACCAGUGUGGAACGGAAAUUCCAGUACAGCCAUCGUCAGCAUUCCAGCCGUCUCCACCACAAUUCUCAGCCAAGCCAGCCUAACCGUAGACGGCGAAUUGCUGCGUUCAUUUGGAACUUGAUUCGAGCAGCGUGCGGUUGUGUCUUUGGUCUCAGCUCUUAGGGCUAAUCUAUACAUAACCAUACAAUAUAAUCUAAGUAAUUUAUUUUACUGUACAAAAUUGAAAGUACCUUUUAUUCUGUGCAUUUGAGGUGGCAAAUUAAUUGAAUAUUUGUUUACCGUGAUCUACACAGAUAGAUUAAAUUGGAUCGAUUUCCGUGUUAAAUCAACUGAAAGUGUGAUGUUAACCCCGUAAGAUUCAUACAAAAAAGCCACGUGUUGGCCAAAGAUUAGAAAAAUAAGUAUUUUACAUUUAAAUUGGCUGAGAUUGAGACACAAAAACGACAGCAAUAGCUCAAUAAAUCAAGAAAAUAUUCAUAGAAAAUAUUAAAAACAAAAAAAAAUAUUUUAUCUAGACUAAAACUUAUAGAAAAAUUCAUUCCCUUAUGACGUCAUUCUUUUAGCUAGAAUUAUGCUGCAGUUUAUCUUAAGUCUAUUGUAAAAGAGAAAAAAAACAGAGUCGGUUUAAAUUACAUAAUAUGCCAAGAUUUUCUACAUUUUGAAUUCACUUAAGAUAAUAAGUGGAUUUAUACCUUGGCAGUUUUUGAUUUUCUGUAUUUACAUAUAAGUAUGCUCUCAAUUGGUUUGGAUAGCCAAAGAGAUGUCUUUCAUUUCAAAUUUUCAUUAAAAUCGACAUUAAAAUCUAA
Molecule: long non-coding RNA, 1185 nt
Organism: Drosophila willistoni
Lineage: Eukaryota; Metazoa; Arthropoda; Insecta; Diptera; Drosophilidae
Exons: 2
Source: RefSeq, a predicted model, not a curated record